AGAGUUUGAUUAUGGCUCAGGACGAACGCUGGCGGCGCGCUUAACACAUGCAAGUCGAGCGAGAACCAGGACUUCGGUCCUGGGGACAGCGGCGAACGGGUGAGUAACACGUGGGUAAUCUGCCCUCGAUUCUGGGAUAGCCCGGGGAAACCCGGAUUAAUACCGGAUAGCCUUCCAAGCCUUCGGGCGAAGAAGAAAAGGUAGCUUCGGCCUCCGAUCGAGGAUGAGCCCGCGGUGGAUUAGCUUGUUGGCGGGGUAAUGGCCCACCAAGGCGACGAUCCAUAGCUGGUCUGAGAGGACGAUCAGCCACACUGGGACUGAGACACGGCCCAGACUCCUACGGGAGGCAGCAGUGGGGAAUCUUGCGCAAUGGGCGAAAGCCUGACGCAGCGACGCCGCGUGGGGGAAGAAGGCCUUAGGGUUGUAAACCUCUUUCAGGUGGGACGAAGCCACUCGGGUUAAUAGCCCAGAGGGUGACGGUACCACCAGAAGAAGCCCCGGCUAACUACGUGCCAGCAGCCGCGGUAAUACGUAGGGGGCAAGCGUUGUCCGGAUUUAUUGGGCGUAAAGAGCGUGUAGGCGGUCAGGUAGGUGGGUUGUGAAAACUGGAGGCUCAACCUUCAGACGUCGACCCAAACCCCCUGGCUAGAGUCCGGAAGAGGAGAGUGGAAUUCCUGGUGUAGCGGUGAAAUGCGCAGAUAUCAGGAAGAACACCCGUGGCGNNNNCNGCUCUCUGGGACGGUACUGACGCUGNNA
This 756-nucleotide ribosomal RNA is filed under the name uncultured bacterium. RNAcentral describes it as "bacterial SSU rRNA". It matches the Rfam family "Bacterial small subunit ribosomal RNA", at positions 8 to 751 of the family's 1533-position model. The record is from RNAcentral.